AGAGUUUGAUCCUGGCUCAGAAUGAACGCUGGCGGCGUGCUUAACACAUGCAAGUCGAACGAGAAAGGGAUUGCUUGCAAUCCCGAGUAGAGUGGCGCACGGGUGAGUAACACGUAGAUAAUCUGCCUUCAAGCCUGGGAUGACUAUUCGAAAGGGUAGCUAAUACCGGAUAAAGUCGAUCUACACAAGUAGAUUGAUGAAAGAUUGCCUCUUCUUGAAAGCAAUUGUUUGGAGAUGAGUUUGCGUACCAUUAGCUUGUUGGUGGGGUAAAGGCCUACCAAGGCAACGAUGGUUAGCUGGUCUGAGAGGAUGAUCAGCCACACUGGAACUGGAACACGGUCCAGACUCCUACGGGAGGCAGCAGUGAGGAAUUUUGCGCAAUGGGGGCAACCCUGACGCAGCAACGCCGCGUGAGUGAAGAAGGCCUUUGGGUCGUAAAGCUCUGUCAACAGGGAAGAAGUUACAAUUGUUUAAUAGAUGGUUGUAUUGACGGUACCUGUGGAGGAAGCGCCGGCUAACUCCGUGCCAGCAGCCGCGGUAAUACGGGGGGCGCAAGCGUUAUUCGGAAUUAUUGGGCGUAAAGGGCGCGCAGGCGGUCUUGUCCGUCAGGUGUGAAAGCUCGGGGCUCAACCCCGGAAGUGCACUUGAAACAGCAAGACUUGAAUACGGGAGAGGAAAGCGGAAUUCCUGGUGUAGAGGUGAAAUUCGUAGAUAUCAGGAGGAACACCGAUGGCGAAGGCAGCUUUCUGGACCGAUAUUGACGCUGAGGCGCGAAAGCGUGGGUAGCAAACGGGAUUAGAUACCCUGGUAGUCG
This 814-nucleotide ribosomal RNA is filed under the name uncultured bacterium. Its description in RNAcentral is "bacterial SSU rRNA". It matches the Rfam family "Bacterial small subunit ribosomal RNA", at positions 8 to 796 of the family's 1533-position model. The record is from RNAcentral.